RNAcentral lists this long non-coding RNA (532 nucleotides) under Cyanistes caeruleus (blue tit). RNAcentral's name for it is "lncRNA (ENSCCEG00000013323.1)". Lineage: Eukaryota; Metazoa; Chordata; Aves; Passeriformes; Paridae. The record is from RNAcentral.
GGCAAGCGACGGUAGAUUGAAGCUCAAGUGUAGCUGACCUUCCAGCUCAUAAAGCAGCAAAGACCUGACUGUCCUGUGACAAUACAAACACUCCUGCUGACAGCACAUGACCAGAGCUGCUGGCAUACAGCUGCAAAAGCAGGAGAUGGCUUGGCUGGGGUGCUGACAGGGUCCCUGUCCCUGCCUGACCCUCGCCAUCACACUGCACAGGCCUCUGAGCUGCGUGGCAGGCAGUUCCUGAGCCACCACGGGAUUCAGGACAAAGAUGGAAGAAAGUUACCUAGACUUUUCUGAGCCUUACGAAAGUAUCAGUCAGCUUAAACUGAUGUUUCAGAGCUCUUGAACUACAUGUUGUCUUUCUUUUCUUGUGCUUCUCUGAGAACUUCACUGCUUCAGCUUCCACAUAACCUCUUCCUCUCUGAUGGACACCAUUCCCUGCCACAGUCAUAUUUUUCUCCAAAUUAAAAAAGUUCAAAAUACAGUGUCCCCUGAGGCAUUUAAAAACAGCAGCAUCUGCUAAAACAGAGAAGGC